Armigeres subalbatus is the source of this 697-nucleotide long non-coding RNA. RefSeq lists it as uncharacterized. NCBI's taxonomy places the organism in Eukaryota, Metazoa, Arthropoda, Insecta, Diptera, Culicidae. The transcript has 3 exons. The record is from RefSeq and is a predicted model, not a curated record.
GAGAUCGAAGCACCGUUUUAUUUUAUGUGCGUUAAUCAUAUAAAGGAUGCCCAACUGCCUUUAGCACGAUUUUAUGUGCAGCAUUUGAAUAUCAUUGGAUGACAAUGGUUUUUAAAAACCUUGCAUAUACAGUAUAGUGAGAAUUUAUUUAUAACAUAUUUGACCUGCCAAUAAUUUUUAUGUGCAACCAUUCAUAGUUGAUAACCAUCAAUGCUGGCACAUAAAAUUUAAAAGUGCACAAUAAAAGAGAAAAGGCUUUGAGCAACAAAAUGGUCGUGGUGGUUGAUGGCAGAUCGAUGGGAAAUUCAUUUGACGCAAACAAAAUAUUAUGUCAGGAUGCAGUCAAACAAAAUUUGGUACACAGAUGUAUGCAUGGGAUAAAAAGUGGUUAGCGAAGCAGAUCCCGUAGCUGCCGUGACGCAGAUCCCGCACUUUAGCAUGAUUCGAACAAGCUUCAUCCGGAUAGCGCAUUACAUCCCCCACUGGAUAUUUCCGCCUUGUCGCUUAGUGUUGAAUUCCAGCACUUCCACAAUGAUGUACUGCAAGGAUUCUAACCCAAGGAAUCAUUUUUGCAUUCGUAUACAUAUAAUGAAGCUAACAUGAUGAUACUUUUUUGCUCAGGGAAAUCUAGAAAACUUCCUAGACCGGACCGGGAAUCGAACCCAGCCGCCUUCCCGAUGGUUAUGGCCUUUUUGCA